AUAUCUCUCCGUACGGGAAGGAUGAGAAGCUUCGACUAAGGUUCGAUUCGAGCGAAAGCGAGAAAGCGUUGCCAACG
Molecule: small RNA, 77 nt
Filed under: Salmonella enterica
Lineage: Bacteria; Pseudomonadati; Pseudomonadota; Gammaproteobacteria; Enterobacterales; Enterobacteriaceae
Description: partial RtT sRNA
Rfam family: RtT RNA
About the family: This family represents a bacterial cis-regulatory element known as RtT RNA. The exact function of RtT is unknown although it is thought that it may be involved in changing the cellular response in relation to amino acid starvation.
Source: RNAcentral